AUACGGCCACAUCAUGUUGAAAUACCGGUUCCCGUACGAUCACCGAAGUUAAGCAACGAAGCAACGUCGAACCUGGUUAGUACCUAGAUGGGUAACUGCUUGAAAAUGCCAGUUGCUGUU
Molecule: non-coding RNA, 120 nt
Organism: Acanthosepion pharaonis
Lineage: Eukaryota; Metazoa; Mollusca; Cephalopoda; Sepiida; Sepiidae
Source: the annotation of a GenBank genome assembly